UGAGCGGUGUAAAGCAGAGCAUCAAGCUUUUGAAAGCCAGGGUAUCAUUUUUGAUAACAAGAUUUUACAUAUUUCGGACGUUGAAGUACGGGAGACAAAAAUGAUGGGAGACAGUCCCAUUAUCAUUUUGGCGUUCCAGACGCAACAGGUUUACUGCAUACGUGAUAAACUUGGUUCAAUUAAAGAAGGGGGACAGGAUACAAUACACACUGUAUACUAUGCUUGGGCUAUGCAACUAGUAGAAGCAGAAGAACUCGGAGAAGGAGCGAUCCACCCUAUAUGGAGGCUUAAAGAGAUGCAGCAACUUGGUGUUGCUGCCCUCAUUUAAAUUUGUUGCUGCCUGCGCCUUGUUCAUGUUCUUGCACUUAAUUUGUGCAGAAAAAUUUUUGCAAUAAAUUUUUGCCCUUUCCACCGUUGGAACGGAGGCAUCAUCAUGUAUUCAAAUUAAUGAAGGAGAUAGGAUAUUUUUUCACUAUACCAGCAAAAAUAGAAUAUUCAUCAUAGUUACAAUUUUAAGAUGUAUGGACUGACUGUAUAAAGGCUUACUACGCUAUAGUUUAACUUCAUAUAGCG
Molecule: unclassified non-coding RNA, 573 nt
Filed under: Hevea brasiliensis (rubber tree)
Lineage: Eukaryota; Viridiplantae; Streptophyta; Magnoliopsida; Malpighiales; Euphorbiaceae
Source: RNAcentral